UACGUAGGGGGCUAGCGUUGUCCGGAUUUAUUGGGCGUAAAGAGCUCGUAGGCGGCUUUGUCAGUCGGGUGUGAAACCUCCAGGCUCAACCUGGAGCCGCCACCCGAUACUGCAAUAGCUAGAGUCCGGUAGGGGAGCAUGGAACUCCUGGUGUAGCGGUGAAAUGCGCAGAUAUCAGGAAGAACACCAGUGGCGAAGGCGGUGCUCUGGGCCGGAACUGACGCUGAGGAGCGAAAGCGUGGGGAGCAAACAGG
This 254-nucleotide ribosomal RNA is filed under the name uncultured bacterium. RNAcentral describes it as "partial 16S ribosomal RNA". It matches the Rfam family "Bacterial small subunit ribosomal RNA", at positions 524 to 776 of the family's 1533-position model. The record is from RNAcentral.